AUGCUGCUUCACACAAUAGGCACCAGCCUCUCAUCCCCCCUCCAACCCCCGGGGGAUUUUUUUUUUUUUUUUUUUACAGCAUUAAUUCACUCUGCACAAAACCCAGCUUGCAAGGCUCCUCUUCAGCAGCGACCUCUCCAUCCCUCCAGCUCCCCCCUUCCCGAGAGCCCUGCCUGCCAGAGCUGCACCCCUCCGGCUGCCCGCCCGCCCGCUGCUCUCCAGCAAAUGUCACCUGUACCCAAUGAAGCAGACCCCGAAGUGCCACGGAUGGAUCCCAGGAUUCUUAUUUUCCUCCUCUACGUGAUGAUCCUGCACGAGCUGGUGAGUGGCUGGAUGGAGUACCAGAAGCAGAUAGCCAAGCCGAAGAAGCAGGCGGGUCCAGUUUGGUCUUCUAGCAACGCCACCAGAUCCACCCCCUCCAGCUUCUCCAGGCCUCUGGUCCACUCAGUGCGCCGGGAGAGGUACAGGGACUGGAGGAAACCGGGGCGGAUCAUCCGCAAAGCGUGAGGCUGCUUCUGCUGGGGAGCGUGAGGAAAGACUCCUGAGCCAGAGGCACUCAUCCCUCGUGAGAUCUGCACCGACUCACCACCUCACAGCAGCAGCUGCAUGAGAGCAUCCUCCAGGCACUGUGAUCUGCAGCUUUCUCCUUUGCACCAAGCCUGGCACGACUGAGAAGGAACAAGCCCCUUCCUCCUGGGAACCCAUCCCUACGUGGUAAGGAGCUGGGGUGGAGACAUCUCUGAGAAGGAACGAGCUCCUUCCUCCUGAGAAUCCAGCCCUAUGUGGUGAGGAGCUGGGAUGGAGAACACUUCCGAGAAGGAAAGAGCCCCUUCCUCCUGGGAACCCAUUCCUGCACGGUGAGGAGCUGGGGUGGAGACACCUCUGCCAGCAGCGGGAUCUCUGGAGGUGGGACAAGGCUUUUUCCACCCAACUCAACAAAGUGACUUUUCUUUCUUCCCAAAAUGUCGAGUAGAUUUUUUGGGGGAAGAAUGAGAUCUGCUCUUGCAUGGGCAGCCCUGGGAAGCCUCUAAAUGGUUUCAAUCUCUUUUCCUUCCACCCAAGGACUGUGUGGCCAGUAAGCAGCGUUUUCCAAAGCAGCUGGAAUGUCUUUGGUGUCCAGUUUAUCACCGUUCCCAGGACAACUUCCCUCCACUGGGGCACCCAGAAGUCACCACACUUUGGAAAUGCUGGCUCCUUGUUAAGUCUCAUUCACUGAGCGUCUGUAGAUAUUUUUCUGCUUUUCUUCACUCUUAUUAAUUGAGUUACUCCGGGGCAGAAGGGGAGAGCGCCCUGAACCAGUGACUCAGAGUUAUGCCACCAAAUGCAAUUUGCUGCCAUGACCUCGCAAUUAGAUUUCUCUGGAGCGUUCCCAGCAGUCGAGCCAAAUGUAAGAGCGACUUUCUAAUGAGCAGAUAGAUGGGAAAGGAUUACAAUAUUGCUCUUUUAUUAGAGUCUAUGUUUUAGGCAUAAAAUUAGAUUUUAGAGGCAGAAGCCAGUUGUCGCAUCCUGCCGCCCCGCGUAGCAGUUGUACCCAGGGUGGGAAUCGCCGGGCGCUGGAGGGAUUCUGACACCGAGCUCCAAACUGCAAACGUCCGUGGCCAAACCUCCUGCCUUAUUUGCUGAACAUAAUGUUUGGCUCAAACGCAGCCUGUUUUUCUCGUUGCCAACCAUUUAUAAGCCUGACUCAGGCUCACAGACGCAUUAUCCGGGAGCAGAGAGGGAAGGGAGUGGGAAUAGAUUAUGCAUUCAUUACCCAGAAGUAGCCACCAGCUACACUCGCACAUUUGUCUGCUGCUCACUUGUUUGCAAACGGUUCCUGUCGGCUGACGCCGUGUUUGUUCAGUCGCCCACGGCAGGAGUCACCUGGGCCAAGGCAGAGCCCUGCACCCGGGCGUCCAGAGCCCCGCGCCGCAAAGAGGGGAUGUGAUUCAUCUCCUCCAAAGUAAAAUAUCAAAAGAAACCUGGCCCAACCGUGCUCUUGAAGUGGGCAAUCCUCUCUCCCAGGCAGGCUGGUUAAGUAACUGGGAAGUAGACCUCUACUGUUAGGGGAGAUGAAGUUUUUUUUCACAGUAGAAAUUCUUUGCUGUGAGGGUGGUGAGGCACUGGAACAGGCUGCCCAGAGAAGCUGUGGAUGCCCCAUCCCUGGAGGUGUUUAAGGCCAGGCUGGAUGGGGCUUUGAGCAACCUGCUCUAGAGGGAAUUGUCCCUGCCCAGGGACUUGAUGGUCUUUAAGGUCCCUUCCAACUCUAACCAUUGUAUGCUUCUAUGAUUCUAUUUUGCCUUGUGUUUGGAUAUUUUUGGAAAAGGAGAUAGGAGUAGCAAUUAACGGUUUCUGCCCAUUUCAAAGCAUAAACUCUCUGCAAAGCUGUGCCUCAGCACUGAGACACUGUGGCUAUUUCCCAAGGCGUCCACUGGCUAUCCCAGUACGUGCAGGUACAUCCUCGGGUAACAGACCAACAAAUGGAGAAGGUGGCAGGAGGAAAAAUAUUCAGAAAGCAUUUCUGGGUGGUGGGAGACUUUGGUUUCCUCAAGCUGAGUCUGCUUGGGUCCUAUAGGUGACGUGCAGCUGGAUGUUCUCCCUGCUCUUCUGCUAGAACGUGUGUGAAUUUGCUGGGAGCACUUGCUGUGCAAAAAGUGUUUCAAUUAAUUACUGAAGUGGUGCAGGAGAGGACUGGCCUCACUGCACAAGGUGGGUUCUCAGCCUCCAUGGGACAGAUGGACCUGAAUGGGGCAGGCAGAUGUCCUGACUGCUGCACCCUCAAGGAACGGUGGGGGACAGGAAUGUCUUGCUCUGCUGAUCACAUGCUGGAUCUAUUCCUGUAAAUAUCCUCAUGUUUACUUCCAAUAAACUCUUUUACAUAUAAGGUGUUUAGACUGUC
This 2878-nucleotide long non-coding RNA is filed under the name Calidris pugnax (ruff). RNAcentral describes it as "lncRNA (ENSCPUG00000000300.1)". Lineage: Eukaryota; Metazoa; Chordata; Aves; Charadriiformes; Scolopacidae. The record is from RNAcentral.